RNAcentral lists this ribosomal RNA (253 nucleotides) under uncultured bacterium. Its description in RNAcentral is "partial 16S ribosomal RNA". It matches the Rfam family "Bacterial small subunit ribosomal RNA", at positions 524 to 776 of the family's 1533-position model. The record is from RNAcentral.
UACGUAGGGUGCAAGCGUUGUUCGGAAUCACUGGGCGUAAAGAGAGCGUAGGCGGGAUCGCAAGUUAGAAGUUUAAUACAUGGGCUUAACCCGUGGUCGGCUUUUAAUACUGCGAUUCUUGAGUGUGGGAGAGGGCGAUGGAAUUCCAGGUGUAGCGGUGGAAUGCGUAGAUAUCUGGAAGAACACCAGUAGCGAAGGCGGUCGCCUGGCCUAACACUGACGCUGAGGCUCGAAAGCUAGGGGAGCGAACAGG